UCCAUAAGUAAUAAAAGGUCCGUUUAGGUCCCUUAACUUUAUUUAAAGUAUCGGUUUGAUCCUUUCUGUUAAUUUAAUUCAAAAAAAUGUUAAGUUUAGGGACCAAACUAAUACUAAUUAAAUAAGAUAAGGGAUCAAAAUUUAACGUUUUUUUGAAUUAAAUUAACAAAAAGGACCAAACCGAUACUUUUAAUAAAGUUAAGGGGCCAAAACGGACCUUUUAUUAUUUAUGGGA
This is a microRNA precursor of Medicago truncatula (barrel medic), 235 nucleotides long. It matches the Rfam family "MIR2655 microRNA precursor family". NCBI's taxonomy places the organism in Eukaryota, Viridiplantae, Streptophyta, Magnoliopsida, Fabales, Fabaceae. The record is from Rfam.